GAAAAGAUGAAUGUCUGGAAGUUGGAAGCUGUGAACAAUGUGAGGAGGGUUGAUUAGACCAGCACUGGCAGAUGGAACUGGUAGAGGGGUGGUGAGGAGGCUUAAGAUUAUUGAGAAUGAGGUUGAUAAGACAGUGCUUGAGGGUUUGGCUCUUGAGUUAGAAUAAACUGAUACAGGUUAAAGGGGUGGAUUUGGAUGUGUGAAAAAGGGGUUGGGAUGAAUGGGAUAGUGUUGGGAUGAAUGGGAGUAGUGUUGAGG
Long non-coding RNA from Ictalurus punctatus (channel catfish), 258 nucleotides. RefSeq lists it as uncharacterized. Lineage: Eukaryota; Metazoa; Chordata; Actinopteri; Siluriformes; Ictaluridae. The record is from RefSeq and is a predicted model, not a curated record. The transcript is spliced from 2 exons.